This 856-nucleotide small RNA is filed under the name Mesoplasma chauliocola. Its description in RNAcentral is "bacterial LSU rRNA". The stretch from base 357 to 856 matches the Rfam family "Bacterial large subunit ribosomal RNA", at positions 1 to 501 of the family's 2925-position model. The record is from RNAcentral. Lineage: Bacteria; Bacillati; Mycoplasmatota; Mollicutes; Entomoplasmatales; Entomoplasmataceae.
UACACACCGCCCGUCAAACCACGAGAGUUGGUAAUACCAGAAGUACGUUUCCUAACCGUAAGGAAGGCGCGUCCCAAGGUAGGACUAGCGAUUGGGGUUAAGUCGUAACAAGGUAUCCGUACGGGAACGUGCGGAUGGAUCACCUCCUUUCUAUGGAGAUAAAAACAAAACAGAUUGACUAUUAUAUUGUUCUAUUUAGUUUUCAGGGAUUAUUUAAAUAUAAUCUCUGAAAGAGAAUUGUUCUUUGAAAACUGAAUAUUAGAUGAAAAGCAUUGUAAAAGAUUAAAUAAAUCAACAAUUUUUAACAAAUAAAAAUAAUUUUACUGAAUCAAUUAUCAAUUGCUUUAAGAUUUUUUCUAAAAAAUAGUAAGGGCAUAUGGUGAAUGCCUUGGAAAAUGGAGCCGAAGAAGGACGUGAUUACCUGCGAAAAGCAUCGGGGAGCUGGAAGUGAGCUUUGAUCCGGUGAUGUCCGAAUGGGGAAACCCAAUACGAUUAAUCUCGUAUUAUCCAUAAGUGAAUACAUAGCUUAUGAGAAGGGAACCUUGGGAACUGAAACAUCUUAGUACCAAGAGGAAAAGAAAACAAUAGUGAUUCUGUUAGUAGCGGCGAGCGAACGCGGAACAGGCCAAACCAGUCUACGGGCUGGGGUUGUAGGGCAUCUUUUAGAGUUACAAAAUCAACAUAUAGUAGAAGUUACUGGGAAGUAACGGCAUAGAGGGUGAUACCCCCGUAUACGAAAUGUGUUGAUCUCGUAGAUGUACCCUGAGUACGGCGAAACACGUGAAAUUUUGUCGGAAUCCGCCGAGACCACUCGGCAAGCCUAAAUACUCCCAUUUUACCGAUAGUGAACCAGUAC